GGAUACUACAAUUUCAGGAUUUGUUUUCCAUGUAGAAAUCAAUGUAUUAUAAAACUAAGAAAUGGUUGGACAACUGGUUGAUAGGAGUUUUUUAAGACCAAUCAAAACCUUUAGCUUGCUUGGAUCUUCCUUCAUCUUAAAAUGAUUUCAUACUGUUUAAAUUGUAUGUAUUAUUAACUUUUUUCUUAUCACAAUUGAUCCAUGUCAUAGAUAUCAACAUUCAGAUAUUAUAAUAACAAUUUAAAAUAAAUAGAUUUUGAUCAAAUUAAAUGAUUAUUAUAGAGGAAGAAAUUAGAGAUGUGGCUAAUAUUGGCUAAAAAUGAAAACUGCACAUCCAGUUGGGGAAAAAAACUGUUUUUUUCUAUCACCAGGGCACCAUGACUGUUUGUUCCCCGCGGUGAGGUUAUUUCGUUUGCACCAUGAGUGAUUUAAUUGGCACAAAUCUGGUGGCUUUGUUUUACAUCUUGAGUUUCCUAAUUGCAGUUCUAUUAAAUUGGAAGGAAACAAAGGCAAUUUUCUUAUUUAGUUAUUAUGCUGAUGGUGAACUACAAUGAGGAGAAAUAUAUUUGUUUUAAUGAAUUCCCGUGCAUCUGCACAGGAAAAAAAGAAUCACUUCCUGUUCUUUUUUAACUUUACAAUUUUUAGGUUUCAGUGUUACUGAAGGAGAGAUGUAUGUUUCUCCCUUUGAAUAUUUGUUUGUUAAUGGGGAUGGUGGGGAGAGGGAAGUGUAACCCAAAGAAGGUUAGAUCUACCUUGCCCUCAAGGUUUGAACACGUUUAUCCCCACAAACUCAUGUUGGAAUUUGAUUGUGGUGGUGUUGGGAGGUGGGUCUUCCGAGAGGGCAUGAGAUCAUGAAGGGGAGGUGAAUGCCGUUCUCUCCUGUGUGGGUCAGUUUCCAUGGGAUUCCAUCGGUUGCUACGAGAGCAGGUUGUGAUAGAGUGUGUCUCUUUCGUCGGUGUCCACCUGCUCUUCUGCUUUUCUGUCAUCAGCACAAGGCCUUUUCCAAACUUCUUGCCCCAUCAUAGACUUGCAGCCUUUAGAACCAAGUGCUGAAUCUAUUUUCCUUGAUGAAUUACCCAGACUCAGGUAUUCUGUUAUAGCAACAGAAAACGGACCAAGACACUUACUCUUGUGAAAUUAUUAUUUUUUUCUCCGUACCAUCUCCCCAAUUAGAAAUGACUCAUGACUUCCCAGUGUUUUACCUGAUACACCAGGAACUUCUUGGUCUAGCAUUUGCAAUUCAUUUUCUUGCCUUGUCUUCUAGUACUUGACCCAAGUGAAUUCCCUUCUGCAAACAGGAACCAAUUUACUGACUCCUUUUCCAGUGUUCCUAAACUAAUUUUCCUAUGUGGAAACCCCCGUCUGGUCAUGCCCAUGGGCCCAGGAUGAGGCAAGUGGAAGAACUAUGUGGGGGUAGA
RNAcentral lists this long non-coding RNA (1418 nucleotides) under Marmota monax (woodchuck). The record is from RNAcentral. Lineage: Eukaryota; Metazoa; Chordata; Mammalia; Rodentia; Sciuridae.